This 131-nucleotide small nucleolar RNA is filed under the name Neotoma lepida (desert woodrat). RNAcentral describes it as "Small nucleolar RNA SNORA70". It matches the Rfam family "Small nucleolar RNA SNORA70". From Rfam's summary of the family: snoRNA U70 seems to be exclusive to mammals and is a member of the H/ACA class of snoRNA which contain H (ANANNA) and ACA box motifs. H/ACA box snoRNAs are involved in the conversion of uridines to pseudouridines (5-ribosyluracil) a constituent of structural RNAs (transfer, ribosomal, small nuclear, and small nucleolar). The record is from Rfam by way of RNAcentral. Lineage: Eukaryota; Metazoa; Chordata; Mammalia; Rodentia; Cricetidae.
UUGAUAAUUAAAAUGUGUACACACUUUCCCCAAGGGGGCCUGGCACUCAACGGUUGCAAACAGCAGCCUUCUUGGUAGUGUAUGCAGCCUGUUGCCUAUGUGGGUUGCCCUAAGGAACCUUGGCGACAAAU